AUUGAACGCUGGCGGCAGGCCUAACACAUGCAAGUCGAGCGGAUCGGCGGAGGGGUGAGUAAUGCCUAGGAAUCUGCCUGGUAGUGGGGGAUGACGUCCGGUAACGGGCGCUAAUACCGCAUCCUAUCGCAUGAGCCUGGGUCGGAUUAGCUAGUUGGUGGGGUAAAGGCCUACCAAGGCGACGAUCCGUAACUGGUCUGAGAGGAUGAUCAGUCACACUGGAACUGAGACACGGUCCAGACUCCUACGGGAGGCAGCAGUGGGGAAUAUUGGACAAUGGGCGAAAGCCUGAUCCAGCCAUGCCGCGUGUGUGAAGAAGGUCUUCGGGUUGUAAAGCACUUUAAGUUGGGAGGCGUUACCAACAGAAUAAGCACCGGCUAACUCCGUGCCAGCAGCCGCGGUAAUAC
RNAcentral lists this ribosomal RNA (407 nucleotides) under uncultured bacterium. Its description in RNAcentral is "partial 16S ribosomal RNA". It matches the Rfam family "Bacterial small subunit ribosomal RNA", at positions 30 to 526 of the family's 1533-position model. The record is from RNAcentral.